RNAcentral lists this ribosomal RNA (199 nucleotides) under uncultured bacterium. RNAcentral's name for it is "partial 16S ribosomal RNA". It matches the Rfam family "Bacterial small subunit ribosomal RNA", at positions 328 to 539 of the family's 1533-position model. The record is from RNAcentral.
ACGCUCGACACCUACGGGAGCAGCAGUCGGGAAUAUUGCGCAAUGGAGGAAACUCUGACGCAGUGACGCCGCGUGCAGGAAGAAGGUUUUCGGAUUGUAAACUGCUUUAGACAGGGAAGAAGAAGUGACAGUACCUGUAGAAUAAGCUCCGGCUAACUACGUGCCAGCAGCCGCGGUAAUCUGAGCGGGCUGGCAAGGC